RNAcentral lists this long non-coding RNA (1182 nucleotides) under Monodelphis domestica (gray short-tailed opossum). Its description in RNAcentral is "lncRNA (ENSMODG00000031925.2)". Lineage: Eukaryota; Metazoa; Chordata; Mammalia; Didelphimorphia; Didelphidae. The record is from RNAcentral.
CAAGUACUCACAGCUUUGGCAUCUCUAGGGUAAGUACCCAGGAACAUCUGUAAGCAUUUUGAUUCCCCAACGGUGUUUUAGGUAAAAGAUGUUUUCAACCAUAGAAAGAAAAUGUUUAAAAUCUCCCCAAUGUCAUAUAUGGGGGAUAAUAGCCUCGUUUUGUUGUUCUUGUCACCACAGUAUCCUGGAGAUGGCAGCAAAGUACAUAGAAGCAGGGAAGCAAAGCAUAACACAUAAACAAGCUGAGAGAUUAAUGAUGCAGUCCAAGUUUGAUGAUGACAAUCCUGAAAUGCAUCAGCCUCUCUUACUUUUCCAGCAACACUGUAGGUCCAGCUCUCUGUCUUCUGUGUCAUCGGAUGUGGGCAGGAGGGUCUUGAGAGCAAAGAUGUAUUGCAAUAAAAUGCAUGCUGUAGUCAGGAAACAAUGAAUAAUGCUCUACAGACAUAGAAGCAUGGAGCAGAAAUGGAAGAGAGAGCUAUUUAACUCAGUGAAGGAAGAAUUAAUCAACAGUCAUUAUCAUCAUCACCAUCAUUUUAGCUAAUAGUUAUAUGGCACUUUAAGGUUUGCAAAAUGUGCAUUGUCUUAUUUUAUUCUCACAACAAUCCUGGGAAGGAAGAGCUACUAUUAUCCCCAUUUUAUAGAUGAGGAAUGUUGGACAGACAGAUUAAAUGGUUUAAGAAUUAUGUAACUAGUGAAUGUCAGAGGCUGGAUUUGAACUUGGGUAUUUCCAAUGCCAGGUCCAGUCCUCCAUUCACUGCUCUGUUGGUUAUGGGUGGACUCAAGACAUAGUAAAGUCAUUAUAAACUGGAUGACUUCUUUGGGAAUCUUGUAGAGGGUUUCUUGCUCAAUUAUAAUUUCCCUCAAUGGCCUUUGAAGUUCAUUUCAAUUCUGAUCUCCCGGGAAUGGACUUAUUGCAACUUAUUUAGAGCUACCCUGGAAAUGAAAACUUGGGGUAAAAGUAAAAGCUUUCUAAAGGAAGGCUAGCGAUAAUCACAGAAAAGCAAGUCAAUUUGAAUUCUACAACUCUUAUAUGUUCAAUUUAUCACACAUUUUAAAAGAAAAUCUAGCUUUCCAAUAGAAAUUUAAAGUUUCAUAUACAGUCAAUCCCCUCUCUGUUCUAUGCAACUGGAAUUUUUCAUUUUAUUUGAUAUUAGUUAAGUUCAGAAUAAAAACUUUUAAAAA